UACGUAGGUCCCGAGCGUUGUCCGGAUUUAUUGGGCGUAAAGCGAGCGCAGGUGGUUUAUUAAGUCUGGUGUAAAGGGCAGUGGCUCAACCAUUGUAUGCAUUGGAAACUGGUAGACUUGAGUGCAGGAGAGGAGAGUGGAAUUCCAUGUGUAGCGGUGAAAUACGUAGAUAUAUGGAGGAACACCGGUGGCGAAAGCGGCUCUCUGGCCUGUAACUGACACUGAGGCUCGAAAGCGUGGGGAGCAAACAGG
This 252-nucleotide ribosomal RNA is filed under the name uncultured bacterium. RNAcentral's name for it is "partial 16S ribosomal RNA". It matches the Rfam family "Bacterial small subunit ribosomal RNA", at positions 524 to 776 of the family's 1533-position model. The record is from RNAcentral.